Molecule: long non-coding RNA, 506 nt
Organism: Rhodamnia argentea
Lineage: Eukaryota; Viridiplantae; Streptophyta; Magnoliopsida; Myrtales; Myrtaceae
Exons: 2
Source: RefSeq, a predicted model, not a curated record
UCUGGACCAAAGUGACAGCCAAAGUGAUCUUCGUGAUCUCUUACAUCUCAACAUCGAUCUUAGCAGAAAAGUGAAUUGGCUGUUGACAACUCCUGCUAUAACUGAGAGCCUCAUUGUCUGUGACACGACCAAAGCAGUCAAAGUCUAUAGUGCUUCCUAUUUAUGCAACCUGAAGCUGCGGAAAGCAGGAGCUCCUCUGCUGCAUAAUGGACGAUGCUCUUGAUGAGCUGGUGGGGCAUUUUAUGUUCACGAUUGUCGUAAUGCUUGGAAUUUUAGGCUAGACCAGAUGGGGACCUGUUCUCUCAAGUGAACCGCCAUUACUACUUGGUGAUGAGGCGGCUACAUCCUACAGCGGGAGGGCUGCUGAGUCUCCACCGAGCGAAGCUUCAAGAAUGCCGGGGUAUUGGAGCGUACUGACCUUGCUUAAAGUUUAAAAAUUGAUAUAGUCACAGCGUAUGCUCUGCUUUACAAGGUGAUUUGUUUACCAGAGUUCAUCGGUUUUUAUA